GUAAGCAUUCACCCCUAUGGAGUUUAUUACAUUUAAGACAAUGUGUAAUAGUCUCCCUAGCCCCAUUAAUACAAACUUCUUGCUUGGUCUUUUAUUGUGCCAGUUACGUUUGUCCUUGCUCAAAUCAUUGCACUUUCUUUUUCCUAAUGGCUACUUGCUUUGCUAGGCAUACAGCUCAAAGAUAAUCCUCUGAUAUGAAAUAGCAUGAGCCCUCUCCAAUAUUUUCACGAUAUGAAGUGAAAUGAUGAGACAUAAUGUUCAUUCCGAUCUCCAGGUGUAGUCCAUUUAUGAAUCUCCAGAUCUUCUUAACUUAGGUAUCCACCAAGUACAAAGCAUAUCAGGAGAGCUGCCCAAACCGUCUCUCGUAAUCAAUAAGCGAUAUGUCUCCCUAUCUGAGCUAACAAAACUCUGAUUACUUUUAAUCUUUCAGGGCAUAUGGAAAGUAUUUUGUCAUUACUUCAUCCUAAAACUAUUCCCAAGUUAGGUUACGGUGUUGCUCUUUGGUCCUAGUGUGUGAGAUAGAUUUCCAUCAGUAACCGGAUGCUCCAACCAACAUAGAUUCUACGCAUAGUACCUUCUAUGCAUCCAUACAAGCAAUGUGUUCAAAAUUUGCGCUUCAAGCCUCUUAUCCACUUUUCGACAACUAGUUGGUCGGAGUUGUCGUCGAAGGUAGGAGGUUUGUACCUAUGAACUGCUCAACCACUGAGACAACUCCAGGAACUAAUGGAGGUGCAUUUUUGCGGUGAGGGUGAAUGAUUCUACCUACUCAAUUCUUGUACAGCUCGUAAUAAAUCACGAAUAAAUUUUGUGUGGGUUGGUGAUGCCAUUUUCUAAAAUGUAACAUUAAGUCACCCAUCACAUACUAGUACUAAGCGU
RNAcentral lists this long non-coding RNA (876 nucleotides) under Olea europaea (common olive). Its description in RNAcentral is "long non-coding RNA (OEUR_LNC015293)". Lineage: Eukaryota; Viridiplantae; Streptophyta; Magnoliopsida; Lamiales; Oleaceae. The record is from RNAcentral.